Molecule: long non-coding RNA, 2213 nt
Organism: Piliocolobus tephrosceles (Ugandan red Colobus)
Lineage: Eukaryota; Metazoa; Chordata; Mammalia; Primates; Cercopithecidae
Source: Ensembl
UUUUUUUUUAUGAAAACUUUUUCUAAAAAUUAUAAUUCAAUCUUUUUUCUUUUUUUAUACUGCAAUGUUUCUUUUUUAUAUAUGCUAUGGAAAAAAAAAAAGAAAAAAAAAAAAAUGCUAAAGAAAAAAUUGUUUUAUAAUUUUUAAAAAAUUUUCUUCCUUCGUGAAUAAUUUGUUGCUUGGUUGACACAAUGCUUUAGUUCAUACAAAUAUGUACACAUAAAUAUAUAUAUUUAUAUAUAUGUAUAUUACACAAGGUGAUGUCAAUUAUACAUAUACGCAUAUAAAUAAAAACUAAUAAAUAAAUAAAAUUAGAAGUUAGGGAAGAAAGAGAUAAACACUGUAUGAUUUUACUUUUUUUUUUUUUUGGAGAUUUUUGCUUAAAUUGGUACCUUUUCAUUAUGUUGACUUUUUUCAAUAAAAUUAAUAAAAAUAUAAAAAAGUAAAAUAAAGUUAAUAAAAACAAAACGAAGGCAUUAAAACGAAGGCAUUAAAACAGGAGCAUUAAAACAGAAGCAUUAAAACAGAAGCAUUAAAACGAAAGCAACAAAAGGAUGAUGUAAUCCGCCUUACAAAUAAACUUUUACCAAGUUGGAACGAAAAAGAGUCAAAACAAUUACCUUUUGUAUACAUAUAUAAAAAUAUAGAUAUGUAAACAUUAUAUAUAUAUACAUAUGUUUUUUUUUUUUUUUUUUUUGAUUUUUUUUAUAACUUAAUAAUUUUAAAGCUUUUGUGACGAAAAAGACGCAAUAACAAGAGCUAGCAAUCAUAACUCACGAACAAAGCCUAUCACACCACACAAACAAAAUGGAAAAAAUGAAUAGCGAUAACAUUAUGGAUGUUAUGAACGACUCUAUAACAUACGUAAUAGAAGCUAGUAAAAGCAAACCCCUUGCUUCAAUAAAAAUCGAAAUAGAAGCAAUGAAAAAUAUUAUACAUAAUGAUAUCAUAAAAAUAUUAAAUAAAAAUUUUUAUGAAUUUAUGUCUUUACCAUCUAACCUUAAUCAUAUAGAAAGUAUGAUACCUAUUUUAGAAAAAGAAAUAAUUAACUCCAAAGAUCAUAUAAAAAAUUGGCUACAUGAAAUACAAAUAAUAAACAAUAAUAUACAUAACAUUAUAAUAGAUAAAAUUAAUAUAUUUUAUAUAAAAAAUAUAUUAACAAAUCAUAUAGAAAUAUACCAAUUAAUUAAUAAAAUACAAAAAGAAAUAAGUAUUUAUGAAAAAUUAGAAUAUCAUAAUUUUAUAGUACAUAUACAAAAAACAGUUAGCUCUUUUGAUGGUAAACUCAGUGAUGAUAAUGAAAAGCUUUUAAAAAAAUGUAUAUACAGUCAUAAGGACAUGUAUGCUACUGAUAAACAUAGUAACAUAUAUACGGAAAGUUGUAACGAAAAACAUGAUUUUUAUCUUUUUUAUCAUCUAAGUGAAAGAAUUUUUAGCAUAUCAAAAGAAAUUUGGAAAACGAAAGCUAUGUUAUAUAAUACUUAUAAAAAAAUAUGUAAAAUAUCACCAACAUUAGAUCAUUUUAAUAAUAUUAUCAUAAAAUAUGGUAUAGCAUCAAAUUGUAGCAACCAAAUUAUAGACAUAACUAAUAAAUAUUCUUUUGAAUAUUUAAAUAAUUGUCUAAUAAAUGUUGUUAAUAAAAUGAAACAUAUUUUUUAUUAUCUAUUAUAUGUUUAUCUUCAAAUCAUUAAAAUUGCCCCUAUUCAAGAUAUAACAAAUAAUUAUAUAUUAAAUCAAACUACUUUGUAUAUUCUCAAUUCUUGUUACUUGCUUAACAAUUUUGAUGUGUUUAUUCAACAGUUCAAUGACGUCUUUUUUAAGCCCAUGGAACACGAACCGACGAAGCCAUACGAUGACUUCUUGGCUUAUAUAAAAGCAGAAAUAAUUGAAAACAAAAAGUUAGUAGACAUAACCCAAAAAAUAGAACAGAUAGAUGAAUAUGUUUUGUUUUACACCAAAGGAAUAAUAACAAGUGCAUUAUGUAUGAUAAAAGAAAAAUAUUGUGAUAUAUUUGUGAUAAAAUAUUAUGACUUAUUUAUUGAAAAUUAUAUUAAGACAGUUGAUUUUUUAAAUAAUGUAAAAAAAAAUAAAAAACCAUAUGAACAGUUCAUGCUUAAUAAAGUUAUUAAUAAAUUUUUAAGUACUUUUCAAACUGAUUUAUAUGUCAAAUAUAUAUUAAAUGUUAUAGAUACAAAAAUAAAUGAGAAAAAUCA